CUGUGAGAUUACAUAUGCAUAUAGUGUUAAUUCUAUAAGAAUAAACCUUUUUAGAAAUUUGCUUAUAGGGAGGAAUUUGAAGGAGACACGGAACACAGAACCGUAGCGUACACUUAGUACGUGAGGAUUUGAGUACCGGAUCGACGUACAAAUUACCCCUAGAAGUAGGGUUUUCGAAUAGGUCUAAUGUAGUAUCAACUCACAAAGUUAUCAGGUUUAUAUACAGCUUUAUCAACUAAUAAAGAUGUUGUUGCAUGACUAAUGUCAUAUCAUGGCUUGAUCCACGGUAUCCAGUAAAAAUUAUUUUGCUGAGUAUCGUAGUAAAAGUUAGGAUAUAAUGUUAAGACUUUUUUUGAGUCGUGCAGCAAUAUUAACAGCAAACUAAUACAAAUCUAUCUUUUAAAAGUUUGUAUUGCU
This 417-nucleotide unclassified non-coding RNA is filed under the name Rickettsia helvetica. The record is from RNAcentral. Lineage: Bacteria; Pseudomonadati; Pseudomonadota; Alphaproteobacteria; Rickettsiales; Rickettsiaceae.